UCAACCCUCAAGCCCCCGGGUUUGGUGUUGGGGAUCGGCUCUGCCUUCUGGCGGUGCCGCCCCCGAAAUACAUUGGCGGUCUCGCUGCAGCCUCCAUUGCGUAGUAGCUAACACCUCGCAACUGGAACGCGGCGCGGCCAUGCCGUAAAACCCCAACUUCUGAAUG
This 166-nucleotide unclassified non-coding RNA is filed under the name Fusarium avenaceum. Its description in RNAcentral is "ITS2". Lineage: Eukaryota; Fungi; Ascomycota; Sordariomycetes; Hypocreales; Nectriaceae. The record is from RNAcentral.